Molecule: ribosomal RNA, 253 nt
Filed under: uncultured bacterium
Lineage: Bacteria
Description: partial 16S ribosomal RNA
Rfam family: Bacterial small subunit ribosomal RNA
Source: RNAcentral
UACGUAGGGGGCAAGCGUUAUCCGGGUUUACUGGGUGUAAAGGGAGCGUAGACGGCAGCGCAAGUCUGGAGUGAAAUGCCGGGGCCCAACCCCGGAACUGCUUUGGAAACUGUGCAGCUCGAGUGCAGGAGAGGUAAGCGGAGUUCCUAGUGUAGCGGUGAAAUGCGUAGAUAUUAGGAGGAACACCAGUGGCGAAGGCGGCUUACUGGACUGUAACUGACGUUGAGGCUCGAAAGCGUGGGGAGCAAACAGG